AAAAAAAAAAAAAAAGGAGCGAGUUUGAAACAUGGCGGACGACGCGGACCAGCAACAAACUACCAACACUGUAGAGGAGCCCCUGGACCUGAUCAGGCUCAGUCUAGAUGAACGAAUUUAUGUGAAAAUGAGAAAUGACCGAGAGCUUCGAGGAAGACUACAUGCUUACGAUCAGCACUUAAAUAUGAUUUUGGGAGAUGUGGAGGAGACCGUGACAACUAUAGAAAUCGACGAAGAAACCUACGAAGAGAUAUAUAAACCUGCUAAAAAAAUUUGGUGGAUGAAUGCAAACACAGCUAUAUUGAUUGGAAUUUCACCUCCUUUCACUUUCUGCUCCUGUGGAGUUGCCAGUGAAUAGCAAAAUGGCCAAAGGGCAGGAAAAGCCAGAGGACCAUCCACAGAGAGGCUAUCCACCAAGCGGAAUAUUCCCAUGCUGUUUGUUCGAGGCGAUGGUGUUGUACUGGUAGCUCCUCCUUUGCGAGUUGGUUGAAACUAAGGAUUUACUCUGGAAAAUCGGGGGCUUUGUACUAUUGUUCCUGUAAAAGAGUUUACAAAAACAGCCACCCACAACUGUGUUUCCCCCUUUUGCCAGAAUCUGUGUUAUUUACAAAUUAUCUGUGAGUCAACAACUUUAAAAUGUACAAGGCCUUUAUCUUUUCUGCCUUCCUAGGCCCCUCAAGUGUACACAUUAUAAUGCGGAAACUUUAAAUGCAAAAUUGGUUUAUUCCUUUCAGUUCCUAUAAUCUAUUUUUUAUUAAAUAUGGUUUGUCCUUCGAAUUUUUCACCA
Tachyglossus aculeatus (Australian echidna) is the source of this 787-nucleotide RNA transcript. NCBI's taxonomy places the organism in Eukaryota, Metazoa, Chordata, Mammalia, Monotremata, Tachyglossidae. The record is from RefSeq and is a predicted model, not a curated record.